This 1016-nucleotide ribosomal RNA is filed under the name uncultured bacterium. Its description in RNAcentral is "bacterial SSU rRNA". It matches the Rfam family "Bacterial small subunit ribosomal RNA", at positions 357 to 1376 of the family's 1533-position model. The record is from RNAcentral.
AGGAAUAUUGGUCAAUGGACGAGAGUCUGAACCAGCCAAGUAGCGUGAAGGAUGACUGCCCUAUGGGUUGUAAACUUCUUUUAUACGGGAAUAAAGUGAGGCACGUGUGCCUUUUUGUAUGUACCGUAUGAAUAAGGAUCGGCUAACUCCGUGCCAGCAGCCGCGGUAAUACGGAGGAUCCGAGCGUUAUCCGGAUUUAUUGGGUUUAAAGGGAGCGUAGGCGGACGCUUAAGUCAGUUGUGAAAGUUUGCGGCUCAACCGUAAAAUUGCAGUUGAUACUGGGUGUCUUGAGUACAGUAGAGGCAGGCGGAAUUCGUGGUGUAGCGGUGAAAUGCUUAGAUAUCACGAAGAACUCCGAUUGCGAAGGCAGCUUGCUGGACUGUAACUGACGCUGAUGCUCGAAAGUGUGGGUAUCAAACAGGAUUAGAUACCCUGGUAGUCCACACAGUAAACGAUGAAUACUCGCUGUUUGCGAUAUACAGUAAGCGGCCAAGCGAAAGCGUUAAGUAUUCCACCUGGGGAGUACGCCGGCAACGGUGAAACUCAAAGGAAUUGACGGGGGCCCGCACAAGCGGAGGAACAUGUGGUUUAAUUCGAUGAUACGCGAGGAACCUUACCCGGGCUUAAAUUGCAGAUGAAUUACGGUGAAAGCCGUAAGCCGCAAGGCAUCUGUGAAGGUGCUGCAUGGUUGUCGUCAGCUCGUGCCGUGAGGUGUCGGCUUAAGUGCCAUAACGAGCGCAACCCUUGUUGUCAGUUACUAACAGGUUCCGCUGAGGACUCUGACAAGACUGCCAUCGUAAGAUGUGAGGAAGGUGGGGAUGACGUCAAAUCAGCACGGCCCUUACGUCCGGGGCUACACACGUGUUACAAUGGGGGGUACAGAGGGCCGCUACCACGCGAGUGGAUGCCAAUCCCCAAAACCUCUCUCAGUUCGGACUGGAGUCUGCAACCCGACUCCACGAAGCUGGAUUCGCUAGUAAUCGCGCAUCAGCCACGGCGCGGUGAAUACGUUCCCG